RNAcentral lists this ribosomal RNA (441 nucleotides) under uncultured bacterium. RNAcentral's name for it is "bacterial SSU rRNA". It matches the Rfam family "Bacterial small subunit ribosomal RNA", at positions 30 to 471 of the family's 1533-position model. The record is from RNAcentral.
AUUGAACGCUGGCGGCAUGCCUUACACAUGCAAGUCGAACGGCAGCACGGGAGCAAUCCUGGUGGCGAGUGGCGAACGGGUGAGUAAUAUAUCGGAACGUGCCCAGUCGUGGGGAUAACGUAGCGAAAGCUACGCUAAUACCGCAUACGAUCUAUGGAUGAAAGCGGGGGAUCGCAAGACCUCGCGCGAUUGGAGCGGCCGAUAUCAGAUUAGGUAGUUGGUGAGGUAAAGGCUCACCAAGCCGACGAUCUGUAGCUGGUCUGAGAGGACGACCAGCCACACUGGGACUGAGACACGGCCCAGACUCCUACGGGAGGCAGCAGUGGGGAAUUUUGGACAAUGGGCGCAAGCCUGAUCCAGCAAUGCCGCUGCAGGAUGAAGGCCUUCGGGUUGUAACUAGCUUUUGUACGGUAACGAAACGGUGAGNUCUAAUACAGUUUG